GUUGAACGCUGGCGGCAUGCUUUACACAUGCAAGUCGAACGGUAACAGGGUGCUUGCACCGCUGACGAGUGGCGAACGGGUGAGUAAUGCGUCGGAACGUGCCGAGUAGUGGGGGAUAACGCAGCGAAAGUUGUGCUAAUACCGCAUACGUACUGAGGUAGAAAGUGGGGGACCUUCGGGCCUCACGCUAUUCGAGCGGCCGACGUCUGAUUAGCUAGUAGGUGAGGUAAAGGCUCACCUAGGCGACGAUCAGUAGCGGGUCUGAGAGGAUGAUCCGCCACACUGGGACUGAGACACGGCCCAGACUCCUACGGGAGGCAGCAGUGGGGAAUUUUGGACAAUGGGCGAAAGCCUGAUCCAGCCAUGCCGCGUGUCUGAAGAAGGCCUUCGGGUUGUAAAGGACUUUUGUCAGGGAGGAAAUCCCUAGUGCUAAUAACACUGGGGGAUGACAGUACCUGAAGAAUAAGCACCAGCUAACUACGUGCCAGCAGCCGCGGUAA
RNAcentral lists this ribosomal RNA (500 nucleotides) under uncultured bacterium. RNAcentral describes it as "partial 16S ribosomal RNA". It matches the Rfam family "Bacterial small subunit ribosomal RNA", at positions 28 to 523 of the family's 1533-position model. The record is from RNAcentral.